GAGAGCGUACUGUCAGGAUUACCCGAAUGAUUGGGAUAAAGACAGGCCCAGAUGGAGGUGGAGGCCAUGCUCGACGAGGACAGCAUCGAACCAAGCCCGAGCGAGUGGAGUUCACCGAUCGUCUUAGUUCCCAAACCUGAUGGGACUCAACGAUUAUACGUGGAUUAUCGGUCAACCCCGUUAUAAAAUCGCUCUCAUAUCCAAUCCCGAGAUUGGAGAGCUGUGUCCAGAAAGUCAGACAAGUCACUUACAUCACCAAGUUGGUCUUACUGCGUGAUUACUGGAAAGUACCUUUGUCAGAGACAGCGAAAUAAAUUUCUGCGUGUCUAACCCCAAAUGGGCUAUAUCAGUUUAAAGUGAUGCCCUUUGCAAUGAAGACCACACCCGCCACAUUCCAAAGGCUCAUGAACAGAGUUGUGGCUGGGUUAACAAACUGUGCAUGUUGAUUUGGACGAUGUAGUGAUCUCUAGUGAGUCCUGCAAAGAUGACAUGGUGCAGUUGUUGGAGCUCUUUGAACGACUACAAGAAGCAAGACUGGUGACAAACCUAAAUAAAACGGAAGUCGCGAAAGCAGAGGUGACGUUCUUGGGACAUAACACCGGUCAUGGAAGGUUGAGCCCAUGGAACACAGAGACGAAGGCCAACGAGGAACUUCCACGACCAAACUCGAAGAAAGAGGUGCUUUGAUUCUUAGGACUCUGCGGAUUCUAUCCGAAGUUUGUUCCAAACGUCAGUGGUGUCGUGGCACCAUUGACCGAUUGGCUGAAGCAGAACACAAUGUUUCGGUGGACAGAACAACGUCAGGAGGCAUUCGACCAUUUCAAAUCGAUAUUCACCCCCAAACCAGUCUUAGCCACACCAAACAUUUCAAAACCUUUUAAAGUCACCACCGAUGCGAGUGACAGUGGAGUUGGGGCUGUACGCCUGCAGGAAGAUGAGGGUGGGAUUGAGCUGCCAGUUGGUUACUUUCCACUUUCCAAAGAAGAUGAACAUCCCCCCCCAGAGGAAAUACUCCACGAUGGGAAAGGAACGAUUGAGUUUGGUUCUGGCCUUACAGCAUUUUAAUGUGUAGGUCAUGAACAAUGUGUCAGAGUCAGUUGUGUAAACAGAUCACAAACCUCUUACAUUCUUAGAAUACUUUAAAGAUAAGAAUAUGAGACUAUUUUGUAGGAGUCUUAUGUUACAGAGUUUUAAUUUAAAAAAAGGUGAACUUAGAUUGAAGUUAUCGGAAUGUUAGCGUAAUGCGCUUUAAGAAUAGAAAAAU
This is a non-coding RNA of Chiloscyllium plagiosum (whitespotted bambooshark), 1264 nucleotides long. Lineage: Eukaryota; Metazoa; Chordata; Chondrichthyes; Orectolobiformes; Hemiscylliidae. The record is from RefSeq and is a predicted model, not a curated record.